The sequence is a transfer RNA, 74 nucleotides long. It matches the Rfam family "tRNA". From Rfam's summary of the family: Transfer RNA (tRNA) molecules are approximately 80 nucleotides in length. The record is from Rfam.
UCCCUCGUGGCGCAAUUGGCUAGCGCGUUCGACUGUUAAUCGAGAGGUUGGUGGUUCGAGCCCACCCGAGGGAG